RNAcentral lists this unclassified non-coding RNA (240 nucleotides) under soil metagenome. Its description in RNAcentral is "partial contains 5.8S ribosomal RNA, internal transcribed spacer 2, and large subunit ribosomal RNA". The record is from RNAcentral.
AACAAGGCGUACCUGCGGACCUGCGGAAGGAUCAUUACCGAGUACCGGGUCUUCGGGCCCUGCUCCCACCCCAUGUGUACCUACCUCUUUUUCGUUGCCUCGGCGGGGUUGAUCCUGCGCGGCCCCUGUGGCCGCGUGGGGGACCCGCCGGGGAGACACACUAAACUCUAAUUUAACGUCGAGUCUGAGAAAACACAAAUAAGUCAAAACUUUCAACAACGGAUCUCAGAUCGGAAGAGC